RNAcentral lists this ribosomal RNA (113 nucleotides) under Comamonas sp. Lineage: Bacteria; Pseudomonadati; Pseudomonadota; Betaproteobacteria; Burkholderiales; Comamonadaceae. The record is from RNAcentral.
CCUGAUGACCAUAGCGACCUGGAACCACUCCUUCCCAUCCCGAACAGGACAGUGAAACAGGUCUGCGCCGAUGAUAGUGCGGGUUCCCGUGUGAAAGUAGGUCAACGUCAGGC